This 253-nucleotide ribosomal RNA is filed under the name uncultured bacterium. Its description in RNAcentral is "partial 16S ribosomal RNA". It matches the Rfam family "Bacterial small subunit ribosomal RNA", at positions 524 to 776 of the family's 1533-position model. The record is from RNAcentral.
UACGAAGGGGGCUAGCGUUGCUCGGAAUCACUGGGCGUAAAGGGUGCGUAGGCGGGUCUUUAAGUCAGGGGGGAAAUCCUGGAGCUCAACUCCAGAACUGCCUUUGAUACUGAAGAUCUCGAGUCCGGGAGAGGUGAGUGGAACUGCGAGUGUAGAGGUGAAAUUCGUAGAUAUUCGCAAGAACACCAGUGGCGAAGGCGGCUCACUGGCCCGGUACUGACGCUGAGGCACGAAAGCGUGGGGAGCAAACAGG